RNAcentral lists this RNase P RNA (297 nucleotides) under pig gut metagenome. RNAcentral describes it as "Bacterial RNase P class A". It matches the Rfam family "Bacterial RNase P class A", at positions 35 to 362 of the family's 367-position model. From Rfam's summary of the family: Ribonuclease P (RNase P) is a ubiquitous endoribonuclease, found in archaea, bacteria and eukarya as well as chloroplasts and mitochondria. The record is from RNAcentral.
CAUUGCUUGAGGAAAGUCCGAGCACCACAAGGCAGAGUGCUGGCUAACUACCAGUCAAGGUGACUUGAAGGAAAGUGCAACAGAAAUAAACCGCCAACAUUGUUGGUAAGGGUGGAAAGGCGAGGUAAAAGCUCACCGUCCCUUAGGCGACUAGGGGAGCCAUGUAAACCCCACUCGGUGCAAGAGAAAAUGACAUAUCGGUAGCCUGCCGUGUCAGAAAAUCGCUCGAACGUGCUGGCAACAACACGUCUAGAUAGAUGAACAUCCAAUACAGAACUCGGCUUAUAGAUUAUCUCA